RNAcentral lists this microRNA precursor (63 nucleotides) under Panagrellus redivivus. RNAcentral describes it as "microRNA prd-mir-7948d precursor". Lineage: Eukaryota; Metazoa; Nematoda; Chromadorea; Rhabditida; Panagrolaimidae. The record is from miRBase by way of RNAcentral.
CGGUGAUCCCAUGUUGCGUUUCUGUGGAUAAUUGAGUUCAGCAAUGUGCACGGGAUCAAUGAC